GUGGGGAAUUUUGCCCAAUGGGCGCAAGCCUGAGGCAGCAACGCCGCGUGAGUGAUGACGCCCUUCGGGGUGUAAAGCUCUGUCGAAGGGGACGAAGACCGGGGGGUGAAGAGCCUGCCGGGAUGACGGUACCGUUGGAGGAAGCCCCGGCUAACUCCGUGCCAGCAGCCGCGGUAAGACGGAGGGGGCAAGCGUUGUUCGGAAUGAUUGGGCGUAAAGCGCCCGUAGGUGGUGCAGCAAGUGGCGCGUGAAAGCCCCUGGCUUAACUGGGGAAGGGCGCGGUAGACUGCUGGACUUGAGUGCCGGAGGGGGAGGCGGAAUUCCUGGUGGAGCGGUGAAAUGCGUAGAGAUCAGGAAGAACGUCAGUGGCGAAGGCGGCCUCCUGGACGGACACUGACACUGAGGGGCGACAGCGUGGGGAGCGAACGGGAUUAGAUACCCUAGUAGUCC
RNAcentral lists this ribosomal RNA (450 nucleotides) under uncultured bacterium. RNAcentral's name for it is "bacterial SSU rRNA". It matches the Rfam family "Bacterial small subunit ribosomal RNA", at positions 354 to 796 of the family's 1533-position model. The record is from RNAcentral.